Molecule: small RNA, 300 nt
Filed under: Arabidopsis thaliana (thale cress)
Lineage: Eukaryota; Viridiplantae; Streptophyta; Magnoliopsida; Brassicales; Brassicaceae
Description: ATSL279700
Source: RNAcentral
ACUCUCUUGCUUGGCAGAUACACAAGGACUUAUGCCAACAAAAUGACAUUUGCUACUAUAAAAGCAAGUCUUUCUUUUUUUUUAACCUAAUGUUAAAUUAUAUUCAAAAGAAAAAUAACGUUUAUACAACGAGUGCAACGAAGUUUGAAAGUUAUUAGAAUUUAAAAGGAAUCAAAAAUCAAAAGUUGGAUUUAAAUUUUGCCCCGAACCAGAAUUGUAAACCUUUAUCGUAUCUUCGGUCCCCGCUUGCUCUAAUAGCAGAGAGUCUUUCUUCUUUCCUAUUUUAUCUACUCGAUUAUU